This 717-nucleotide long non-coding RNA is filed under the name Nicotiana tabacum (common tobacco). RNAcentral's name for it is "long non-coding RNA (NTAB_LNC001668)". The record is from RNAcentral. Lineage: Eukaryota; Viridiplantae; Streptophyta; Magnoliopsida; Solanales; Solanaceae.
GGACAACAUUCAUUAACGGCGGGAUCACCAAUUCCAAUAUGAACUAGCCCACCAAGAAGAUCUACACAAGCUCCAAGUUUUAGUGUGUCAAUUGGGCAUGUUGCCUUUGUUGUUGUUGGUGGAGGGCAUGGUUUUCCUUUUGGGGAUGGUGUAACUGGAGGAACAGUAAUUGGUGGAACUGUCACUGGCGGAAUUCCUAUAGGUGGCAAGUUGAUAGGAGGUUUUACAAUAGGUGGUAUACCAAUUGGUGGCUUAACAACUGGUGGAACUGUCACCGGUGGAAUUCCGAUAGGUGGCUUAAUAACUGGUGGAAUAAUGGGUGGCAAGUUGAUAGGAGGUUUAAUAACCGGUGGAACUGUCACUGGUGGAAUUCCGAUAGGUGGCUUAAUAACUGGUGGAACAACAGGUGGCAAAUUGAUGGGUGGUUUUACAACUGGUGGAACUGUCACUGGUGGAAUUCCGAUAGGCGGCUUAAUAACUGGUGGAACAACGGGUGGCAAGUUGAUGGGUGGUUUUACAAUCGGUGGAACUGUCACUGGUGGAAUUCCAAUGGGUGGCAAAUUGAUAGGGGGUUUAAUACUUGGAGAGGGAGUUUUGGGCUUUUUGGGUUUGUGAGAGGGUUUUCCACAAUAUCCACAACCAAGAAUGGGAGUGAAUGAAGAAAGGAAAAGCAUGGAAAUGAAAAGAAGACAUGUUAUUUUAGAUGACUCCAUUUUC